GGAAAAAACAAGACCAAUUCCCCCCCAAAGAACAUUCAUCGACUCUAAAAUGCUGUCCAUUGAUGGAGAUCUGAGUCUGGCCAUCUAAGCAUUCUAUAAUAGGGAAAGAGCAAAGAUCAAUGACCACAAAGAACAUUCAUUGACUCUAAUAUGCUGUCCAUUGAUGAAGAUCCGAGUCUAACCAUCCAAGCACUAUAUAAUAGACAUGUGGAUGUGGCUGUAUAAACAAAAGAUUCAAUGAUUUCCUAUACUAUAUUCAAUAUCCAAGAACACUAUCUAUGCGCAUCACAUCUCCCAGAACUCCUUCUCACUCAUGCUUCGAUGUGGAUGACACGUCUUGAAAACUGCAUGAGGAAGCCUAGUUUGAUUUUGGCUCCAAGCGAAGCUGAACUGUGCGACUCCAGCUCAAAUUAAUGGCGUUGCAACCAAUGUGUCAUAUGAUUAAGGGGUAAUAGAGCUGUUGUUCUCUAAUUCUAUUAAUUUGGAAUCAUAAGUAUGAGAGCUUGUGAAUUCGAUAAAUCCACAUCAACAAAUUUUGGUCACCCCACACUACCAAAUCCCAUUGAUCUGGGAGAAGAAAGGAAUCACCAAGAAUGCAAGAUACAACCAUGGUGGAAACAGAUAAGAUCGACACAGAGGAAGGUUGCAAACAGAAGAAGUAGAAAUGCAAGAAGUGGCUUGUUGAAUUAUCAUUCCCGAAGUCUCGUUGCCUUCCCGGUAACCAUUUACUCCUCCAGAUGCUCGUCUUGCUGGUUAUUGCGCCGAUGUUUUUCUUUUGUUUCCAAGUUUUGGAUUUGCAAAAAGAAACCAAAAAACAGGUUUUUCCAGCUCUCCCACAACCCGGAACAAGAAAUUGUGCCGUUUGUGACUGAAGUUUUAACAAUUGAAUUACAUUCAAUGUUAUGCCUCUAGCAGAUUUUUGCCCAUGCAACAUACUUUUCAGGGCUCAACUGUGCAGACCUUUUGUCAUCGUCCCACAUGAUUGUCUCCAAAGACACUCUAUUUUGUUGAAUCAAAAUCUUCAGGGUCUCUUCAUUUAGGCUGAAAUUUCACGCUUAGUUUGAAGGGGAGAGUUGAAUGAUCAUACUAGGCAUAUUUGCAUAGUCUAUUUUGGAAGUUCUGGGACUUCGUGUUUGUCUCCAAUGCCACUCUAUUUUGUUGAAUCAAGAUUUUCCAGGUCUUCAUUUAGGCUGAAAUUUCCCAGUUAGAUUGAAGGGGAGUGUUGAAUACCACUUACUCCAAGUGGUUGGAGGUUGGUUGUCUCCUUAAGAAAGAUCCGCUAAUUUUCAUCUAAAAAGUUGUUUUGUUGUUUAUUUUCCUUGUCCUAGUAUUUGAUUAACAUCACAAAAUAUAUCUUUCUCUCUUCAUUUUUCUAAGAUUUCAAAGUAGAAUCCACUAUUUAAAAAAAAAUAUAUUUCAUAUAAGUAUUCUAAAGGGGUUCAGGUGUGAGACAGUCUAGGGGUUGAAUUUCCCGCCCUAUUUUUAUAGGGGGCUAUAUAAUCAUGCAUGUAAUUACAAUAAAUGAUGCAUGUAAUUUCAAUAAAUGAUAUGUAAAAGUUAUACAAAGUACAAAUAAAUAUAUAAAUGCAAUUAACAAUAUAAUUAAUAAAGAUUCAUCACCAUACUGAUACUAAAAAGGUAAUAUCAUUACUUUUACCUUUUACCAAAAGUCUAUACUAAUCCACAUUACACAGUGAACAUUUCAUUAAUGCGACUUUAGCUUCAGAGUUAUUAAAAAAUGGUUUCUUAGGUUCUCAUUAAACAAAAUGAGCUUUCACAAAAAAUAGUAAAAAGUCAGCUUCACUGCCUACAUCACCACCUCCUCCAAAGGUGAGGCGGCCGAGGACCUCCUAGGUGGCUUCCAUUUAGAAGUCUGGAUUUAAUAUGAACAAAUCUCUCCCUUCUUGUUUACAAAAGGACUAAUUUUGGAGCAAUGUAAAAGGAAUCGAGAAGGAAAAAACGGAAACAUGGAUGUUAGGUUACAUAGCAAGAGCUACACCCUUCAUGCAGCCAAUCCUUGCCACAUAUCGGGAAUUUCAGCAUCCGAUUUAAACGGAAAUGUUUUUGCAGGCUUGUUCGAAUGGAAAAUGAUAGAAGGUGGAAUUGUUUGCAUAUGUUCAAUCAAAACUACAAACAACGACCCUGUGCAAAAAUGCAUAAUGGUGCAAUGUUCCCAUUUUACCAUCAGGGGUACUCUUUAGUUACUUCAGAUUCUAUGAGGUGAAGCAUAGGCCAAAGAGGAGAAGAGGUCGACAAUAUGCGUCUUGUGUUCUUCGGAAAGUUUUCGUGCUGCCACAUUUUCAGAGGCCAAGUUGAAACAUAUAAGCUUGGGCAACAAUAUACUUUUCUCUACAAUUCUCGCAUUAGCUAUGUCUUUUAUUUUGAUUUUCAUGUUUUUUAGACUUUCAUUUUGGAAAAUGAAGCUUUUAAGGGGUGAGUAGUGUAACAUGUGUUAGAGUUGGGGUUAAUAGAGGAGAAAUGUUCUAUACAAAUGCAAAGUAGUGCACGAAGUAUUAGUUAGGAUAUAAAUGAGUACACAAGUUAUAAUUACUGACACUAGGCUUGUAUAGGUUUUUAUGUAUGAAAUGAUAUUGAAUGAAAAGUUAGUUUACACCAA
Molecule: long non-coding RNA, 2617 nt
Organism: Impatiens glandulifera
Lineage: Eukaryota; Viridiplantae; Streptophyta; Magnoliopsida; Ericales; Balsaminaceae
Exons: 4
Source: RefSeq, a predicted model, not a curated record